AUUGAACGCUGGCGGCAGGCCUAACACAUGCAAGUCGAACGGUAACAGGAAGAAGCUUGCUUCUUUGCUGACGAGUGGCGGACGGGUGAGUAAUGUCUGGGAAACUGCCUGAUGGAGGGGGAUAACUACUGGAAACGGUAGCUAAUACCGCAUAACGUCGCAAGACCAAAGAGGGGGACCUUCGGGCCUCUUGCCAUCGGAUGUGCCCAGAUGGGAUUAGCUAGUAGGUGGGGUAACGGCUCACCUAGGCGACGAUCCCUAGCUGGUCUGAGAGGAUGACCAGCCACACUGGAACUGAGACACGGUCCAGACUCCUAAGGGAGGCAGCAGUGGGGAAUAUUGCACAAUGGGCGCAAGCCUGAUGCAGCCAUGCCGCGUGUAUGAAGGAGGCCUUCGGGUUGUAAAGUACUUUCAGCGGGGAGGAAGGGAGUAAAGUUAAUACCUUUGCUCAUUGACGUUACCCGCAGAAGAAGCACCGGCUAACUCCGUG
RNAcentral lists this ribosomal RNA (490 nucleotides) under uncultured bacterium. RNAcentral's name for it is "partial 16S ribosomal RNA". It matches the Rfam family "Bacterial small subunit ribosomal RNA", at positions 30 to 507 of the family's 1533-position model. The record is from RNAcentral.